RNAcentral lists this ribosomal RNA (386 nucleotides) under Salmonella enterica subsp. enterica serovar Newport str. 0267. RNAcentral's name for it is "partial 23S ribosomal RNA". It matches the Rfam family "Bacterial large subunit ribosomal RNA", at positions 887 to 1269 of the family's 2925-position model. The record is from RNAcentral. Lineage: Bacteria; Pseudomonadati; Pseudomonadota; Gammaproteobacteria; Enterobacterales; Enterobacteriaceae.
AAUUCAUCUCCGGGGGUAGAGCACUGUUUCGGCUAGGGGGCCAUCCCGGCUUACCAACCCGAUGCAAACUGCGAAUACCGGAGAAUGUUAUCACGGGAGACACACGGCGGGUGCUAACGUCCGUCGUGAAGAGGGAAACAACCCAGACCGCCAGCUAAGGUCCCAAAGUCAUGGUUAAGUGGGAAACGAUGUGGGAAGGCCCAGACAGCCAGGAUGUUGGCUUAGAAGCAGCCAUCAUUUAAAGAAAGCGUAAUAGCUCACUGGUCGAGUCGGCCUGCGCGGAAGAUGUAACGGGGCUAAACCAUGCACCGAAGCUGCGGCAGCGACGCUGAUGCGUUGUUGGGUAGGGGAGCGUUCUGUAAGCCUGUGAAGGUGGCCUGUGAGGG